AUUGAACGCUGGCGGCAUGCCUUACACAUGCAAGUCGAACGGCAGCACGGGUGCUUGCACCUGGUGGCGAGUGGCGAACGGGUGAGUAAUACAUCGGAACGUACCUUAUCGUGGGGGAUAACGCUGCGAAAGCUGUGCUAAUACCGCAUACGCCCUGAGGGGGAAAGCGGGGGAUCGCACGACCUCGCGCGAUUAGAGCGGCCGAUGCCUGAUUAGCUUGUUGGUGGGGUAAAAGCCCACCAAGGCGACGAUCAGUAGCUGGUCUGAGAGGACGAUCAGCCACACUGGGACUGAGACACGGCCCAGACUCCUACGGGAGGCAGCUGCGGGGAAUUUUGGACAAUGGGGGCAACCCUGAUCCAGCAAUGCCGCGUGAGUGAAGAAGGCCUUCGGGUUGUAAAGCUCUUUUGUCAGGGAAGAAACACCGGCUCUAACACAGUCCGGGAAUGACGGUACCUGAAGAAUAAGCACCGGCUAACUACGUGCCAGCAGCCGCCGUAA
RNAcentral lists this ribosomal RNA (501 nucleotides) under uncultured bacterium. Its description in RNAcentral is "partial 16S ribosomal RNA". It matches the Rfam family "Bacterial small subunit ribosomal RNA", at positions 30 to 523 of the family's 1533-position model. The record is from RNAcentral.